RNAcentral lists this unclassified non-coding RNA (113 nucleotides) under uncultured Glomeromycotina. RNAcentral's name for it is "sequence contains ITS1". The record is from RNAcentral. Lineage: Eukaryota; Fungi; Glomeromycota.
CAAAUCUUUGCGAGUGCUGCGUUUACGCAGUAUCUCACACAUUAGCACAAGGUCGCAAGGCCUUGAUGUUUACGCUUGUUUGUUUGACAGAGUUAGUUGAGACUAAAUAUAGA